GCAAUCGGCAAUUGUAUUUUGGGUAGAUACUUGUUCAUGGGUUAGUGAGGGAAUCGAAAAAAAGAAAGAAAGAUAGGACUUGAAUGCACUUUAUGUUUUAGUCAUCUUCAAAGUGGAGAAGCAGACAAAAUCGUUUCCGGCUAGGUCUUGCCGCAAGUCUUUCGAUCCCUAUCCACCCCUUCCGGCAAGAUUUGGCUCUAUAGAGAUUGAUCCAGACACUGUGCGGCCUCUCAAGAAGCGGCUUAAAUCCGAUGAUGCUUGUAUUGUUUGUGAAGUUUCAGAAGAGGGAGCAUCAAGUUGUUCUUGGGUUGACUGUCUUCUUCGGUUUCAUGAAGAGUGUUUGACUCCUGAGUUCGGUGGUAGUGAGGAUCUCUCAAGAGUUCUCAUCAACCUGAAGAGGAAGAAGAAGAUAAAGUGAUAGAGGACGAGGUUGAAGCAUCAGCUGAAGACGAUGAGAGGGUAUCUGCAGAUGACGAAUCAGUGAAGAGGAUGUGAGUGAGCAUGUGGCUUCUCAGCCGAAUACAUUCAGGUUAUUCCUUUUUUUCUUCUUUCACUGGAACAUGUUCAUACAAAUAGUAUCUUCCCUCAUUGCCACACUAAAUGUAGAAAGUACAAUUACCUCAUGGGAUUUGCAUGUUCAUUGGCA
Long non-coding RNA from Brassica napus (rape), 646 nucleotides. RefSeq lists it as uncharacterized. The record is from RefSeq and is a predicted model, not a curated record. Lineage: Eukaryota; Viridiplantae; Streptophyta; Magnoliopsida; Brassicales; Brassicaceae. The transcript has 2 exons.